CAGUUACAAGAAACGCACUGCUAGGAGCGCGGGGGCAGAAACAUCGGGGCAAGAGAAGACUGAAGGAAAAAGAAAGAGGACAGUGACCUUCACGGACAACAUCGCAGAAGUCCGCUAUUAUGAAGUGGAACCUAACACCAGUUUGAGGCUUGUUCCUAAAAGAGGGAAAAGAAAGAAAAGAAUGGAAAGACCUAAGAGAAGAUCUUCUUGCCGGCCCCGCGAUAGAUCUUAGACUGUAGAUAUCUAGAUCAUUCCAGGGCAAGACAAGAAAGAAACCCGAAAGAGGACAGUGAGCUUCGCGGACGACGUAGAAGUCCGCUAUUAUGAGAUGGAAACCAACGAUGAAAUGAGGCCUGUCCCUAAAAGAUGGGAAAGAAUGAAAAGAAUGAGAAGACCUAAGAGAAGAUCAUCUUGCCGUCCCCACGCCAGAGACUAGACCACAGAUAUCUAGACCAUUCCAGGUGGAGCCCUUAUGGGGCACCUUGUAAAUUAGUGUAAUGGUGGGAAUCACUAUCAAUCUGCAUGUGCAGAGCGAUGCUUAGAUCCGGUGUCCAGUACUAAGUGUUUAGCCUUGUCAGACUACCGCUUAGUACGGGACAGCGGAUCUAAGCAUCGUGUCCUACCAUUAUACCGCUCCAUAAGGACUCCACCUGAAAUUGUUUAGAUAUCAGCAGUGCUAUAGAUAAGCUAAUGCUUAAUAGAUAAGCUAAUGCAUCAAAAAUAAUAAAAAAAAACAGCAUUUGCCCCA
Long non-coding RNA from Pseudophryne corroboree (corroboree frog), 748 nucleotides. RefSeq lists it as uncharacterized. The record is from RefSeq and is a predicted model, not a curated record. NCBI's taxonomy places the organism in Eukaryota, Metazoa, Chordata, Amphibia, Anura, Myobatrachidae. The transcript has 3 exons.